UACCACUUUUAUUAGGUUGAACGG
Molecule: non-coding RNA, 24 nt
Filed under: Cricetulus griseus (Chinese hamster)
Lineage: Eukaryota; Metazoa; Chordata; Mammalia; Rodentia; Cricetidae
Source: RNAcentral